UUGUUUGAGAAAACCCAUCGAUGGGUAAAAAAAUACUCAUUUUUGAAAAGCAUAAAGAUCUGCCAAAACAUGGGUGAAAACACAAAAACAAAACGAGUAAAAAUAUACCCAUUUUAAGGAUGCGACCAUCUACCCAUUAAUGGGUGAAAAAGUAGUUAGGGAAAUUUGGAAAAUCGAGGGAUUCUUCAGAAUCUGUUGUUCGAAAAGGAAUGUUUUUUCAAGGUUUUUUCUGCUCCCGCUUGCUGCAGAUUUCCUGUAUCACCGUCUAGAUUACAAGCGCUGUAUCCUACGCACAAGGUUACGUUAUGGACUACAGAGCCAGGAUAGCUUCAGCUUUCGGCAAGGCUUCCGGAUUCCAGCAAGAAGAUUUUACCAAGUGAAUAUAAAUAACAAAUUAUAGUGGCUAAGAAGUGUACUAUUUUUUUAAUAAAAUGUAUUAGGAAUGACUAUUUUCUGUUUGUUUAAUUUGAAUGCAUUUAAAAUUUCCAGCUAACACCAUUUCAAAAAUGGGUAUUUUUUCACCCAUUUUACGGCACUAUCGCUUUUUUAAAAUGGGUAAAUAUUUACCCAUCAUUUGACAUAAACUGUGUCUACCCAUUAAUGGGUAAACAGUCUUUACCCAUUAAAUGGGGAGAGGCACUUCUAGCGAAAAUGGGUGUUUUUUCACCCAUUAAUGGGUUUUCACAAACGACCGUGUAAGGUAAA
Molecule: long non-coding RNA, 705 nt
Organism: Aedes albopictus (Asian tiger mosquito)
Lineage: Eukaryota; Metazoa; Arthropoda; Insecta; Diptera; Culicidae
Exons: 2
Source: RefSeq, a predicted model, not a curated record